Molecule: long non-coding RNA, 878 nt
Organism: Capsicum annuum
Lineage: Eukaryota; Viridiplantae; Streptophyta; Magnoliopsida; Solanales; Solanaceae
Exons: 3
Source: RefSeq, a predicted model, not a curated record
UCGGGUGGAAUUUAUUUAUUUUUCCUCUUCUUUUUGUUGAAGGAUUUCACUAAUUGUUUUUGGGCUUUAUCGCUAAAAAUAGAUAUGUAAAUCGAUAUUUUUUAUUUCAUUUUAUCUAUAUGUGUUCAGAGUAAAAUUUAGGAGUUUCAUCUUCUAAUAUUUUUGAAUGUUCUAUCUAGCAUAUGGUUGCUAAUUGGCUAAGGCUUGAGCUUUGACAUAAAUGGCGAAAUUAAUUUACCACAUUUGAAACUUGCUAAUUGAGGCUUUGUUUCUCCUAUUUCAAAAUAAAAUUUAAGAAAUCUUCAGCUUUUUUAGCAAUUGUAUGUUGGACUUUCCAAGGUUACUGUUGCUGCCUGAUUGUUCUUUUUUCUCACAUUGUUGUCCUUCUUUAUUUAUCUCUACCUUGCUGAAUUUUUUCUUAAAAAUUUCUUCUAACAGAUGUUCAAAUAGUGCGCUAUCGAAAAGCUGAAUCUGAUUGAGAAACGAUGCUUGAACAAUUACAGUUGAAGAACAAAAUGGAGCAUGAAGACAGCUACAGGCGAGUUUCGAAGCCAAAAUACGAGUGUCUUCUCUUUGAUAUAAUGAAGAACCCUGUCUAUGAAGUGAUGGAAAGGAGAUUCUGUAGAGGCGGGUAUUGUGUGUGGCUGAGAUAACUUGUGGUUUUAGAAGUGACUUUUAUUGCAUUGGUUGUGCCCAAUUUGUUGAUUUCUUGUCACUUGUGGGGAGCAGUGUGUGCAUUAUUUUGGGGUUUGUGUUGCCUGCUUUAUUUUUCACUUCUUCCUUCAAGGUUUUACCCAGUGUUAUCCAGAUCAAGUGUGUUAUACUGAAACUGUUAUUCAAUUGUAGCACCGUCUUUUCUAUUAGUUUCUCUCUUUGUA